GAUGAACGCUGGCGGCGUGCCUAAUACAUGCAAGUCGAGCGAACAGACGAGGAGCUUGCUCCUCUGACGUUAGCGGCGGACGGGUGAGUAACACGUGGAUAACCUACCUAUAAGACUGGGAUAACUUCGGGAAACCGGAGCUAAUACCGGAAAACCUGUUGCACCGCAUUGUUCAACAGUGGAAGACGGUCUUUCUUUCACUUAUAGAUUGAUCCGCGCCGCAUUAGGUAGUUGGUAAGGUAACGGCUUACCCAGGCAACGAUGCGUAGCCGACCUGAGAGGGUGACUGGACAGAUUGGAACUGAGACACGGUCCAGACUCCUACGGGAGGCAGCAGUAGGGACUCUUCCGCAAUGGGCGAAAGCCUGACGGAGCAACGCCGCGUGAGUGAAGAAGGUCUUCGGCUCGUAAAACUCUGUUAUUAGGGAAGAACAAAUGUGUAAGUAACUAUGAACGUCUUGACGGUACCUAAUCAGAAAGCCACGGCUAACUACGUG
Molecule: ribosomal RNA, 497 nt
Filed under: uncultured bacterium
Lineage: Bacteria
Description: partial 16S ribosomal RNA
Rfam family: Bacterial small subunit ribosomal RNA
Source: RNAcentral